AUCACCUGUGCAUCUUGUUAAAAUGCAGAUUCUGGUUCAGUACGUCUGGGUGGGGCCUGAGAGUCUGCAUUUUGAACAAGCUCCCAGGUGCUGCUGG
RNAcentral lists this microRNA precursor (97 nucleotides) under Pan paniscus (pygmy chimpanzee). RNAcentral describes it as "mir-544 microRNA precursor family". It matches the Rfam family "mir-544 microRNA precursor family". The record is from Rfam by way of RNAcentral. RNAcentral also lists the same sequence under 1 other name. Lineage: Eukaryota; Metazoa; Chordata; Mammalia; Primates; Hominidae.